AGUUUUCACUAAUACAGUUGGCAUGUCAUGUAUCUGUCACUGGGUUAGUGAUUACUGC
Molecule: microRNA precursor, 58 nt
Filed under: Heliconius melpomene (postman butterfly)
Lineage: Eukaryota; Metazoa; Arthropoda; Insecta; Lepidoptera; Nymphalidae
Source: RNAcentral